CCUUCGGGUGGCUGCAGUAGGGAAUUUUCGGCAAUGGGGGGAACCCUGACCGAGCAACGCCGCGUGAAGGAAGAAGGAAUUCGUUCUGUAAACUUCUGUUAUAAAGGACGAAAGACGGAUGGAGGAAAUGACAUCCGAGUGACGGUACUUUAUGAGAAAGCCACGGCUAACUACGUGCCAGCAGCCGCGGUAAUACGUAGGUGGCCAGCGGUAUCCGGAAUUAUUGGGCGUAAAGAGGGAGCAGGCGGCAGCAAAGGUCUGGGGUAAAAGACUGAAGCUUAACUUCAGUAAGACAUGGAAACGGGGCAGCGAGAGUGGAGGAGAGGAACGUGGAAUGCGAGGUGUAGCGGUGAAAUGCGUAGAUA
RNAcentral lists this ribosomal RNA (365 nucleotides) under uncultured bacterium. Its description in RNAcentral is "partial 16S ribosomal RNA". It matches the Rfam family "Bacterial small subunit ribosomal RNA", at positions 338 to 696 of the family's 1533-position model. The record is from RNAcentral.